GUGGCGGGAGCAGGACGGUUGUCCGUUCUUUGUAUUUGUGGCUUCCAUGAUGGCAGCGUUCGUCCGUGCGUAUUGCCGCAGUUUGAUGUACAAGUGAGAGACAUGGACGGCACUAUAGUUUCAGGGUUCGUUAUGAAGACGUUUGACAAGUUGCUAAGUUGAGAAGUUGUUUGAGAACUCGCUACCAAUGGCCGAGUCCAGAACAACACUGGGAUCAGUCAAUGAAGGAUUUGCCAAGUUACAGCAGCCUCCUAUCCAUCACAAGCUUUUGGGCUGAACGCAGACAUGGUAAGCUGUAGUACUCUUUCUCUAAUUUCAGGUAAACCAGGGCCAGUGCAUUCAUUGCGUGGGAAUCAGCUUGUACACAUGGAUAGCGUAAGCUAGCUUCCAGUACGACAAAAAGGAUGCUGUGCCAGGGGUAACUGACUGUCUUCUGUCCUAUGCACUUUAAGAUUGCUCUCAGCAGAGUAUUACUCACUUCCAUCUUCUCAGUUCAGAGGAACAAGUCAGCGUCAUUUGCAAGGUAACCACAACAGUUCUUUCACAGCGGCCUGUCCUGCAGCAUCCCAAUGAACAACUACUGUACGACCCGUAUGGGAAUUUUUUUCAUGAGCAGAUCAACAAUGCCAAGGUUACCUCACGAAGAUCCGGGUGCCUCAAGCGUCGCUACCUUCUUGGGGGAAAAAUGAAAUAGACAACUAUGUGACAACAU
This is a long non-coding RNA of Ornithodoros turicata, 712 nucleotides long. RefSeq lists it as uncharacterized. The transcript is spliced from 5 exons. The record is from RefSeq and is a predicted model, not a curated record. NCBI's taxonomy places the organism in Eukaryota, Metazoa, Arthropoda, Arachnida, Ixodida, Argasidae.